UACGUAGGGUGCGAGCGUUAAUCGGAAUUACUGGGCGUAAAGAGUGCGUAGGCGGUUUUUUGGGUCCGCCGUGAAAGCGCCGGGCUUAACCUGGGGAUGGCAGUGGAAACUAGAGGACUUGAAUCCGGCAGAGGGGGGUGGAAUGCCACGUGUAGCAGUGAAAUGCGUAGAUAUGUGGCGGAACACCGAUGGCGAAGGCAGCCCCCUGGGCUGAGAUUGACGCUCAGGCGCGAAAGCGUGGGUAGCAAACAGG
RNAcentral lists this ribosomal RNA (253 nucleotides) under uncultured bacterium. RNAcentral's name for it is "partial 16S ribosomal RNA". It matches the Rfam family "Bacterial small subunit ribosomal RNA", at positions 524 to 776 of the family's 1533-position model. The record is from RNAcentral.